This 676-nucleotide long non-coding RNA is filed under the name Cyanistes caeruleus (blue tit). RNAcentral's name for it is "lncRNA (ENSCCEG00000023588.1)". The record is from RNAcentral. Lineage: Eukaryota; Metazoa; Chordata; Aves; Passeriformes; Paridae.
CUCAGCCAGGGAGUGACCACCCACCUGAGACUGCCCUGAGCCACACCAGCUGGGCACACGGUGGGAGGUGGUGGAGAAGAAGAAGGGGAAGGGAGGUUUGAGUUGAGGACUGAAGAAAGAAAAGUUUGUUCAGACACAGAGCUCUGAGUACUGCUGCAUGGGAGGUCUUUCUGAUGAUGCUGCAUGGGAAGACCAGGGUGGUGUAUGAGUGCUUAGGGAAGGGAUUGCACAGCCCAGAGAAGUGGCCCAGUUUCCUCCUGUGACCUCUACCAGCUCAGCUGCAGAGUUCAACACGCCUUUCUCUUACUUGGGGCUGUGUUCAAAGCCUUGCUCCAGUGGAAUGGAACUUUAUUCUUGUGGAAAGGAGAACUUCUUUUCUUACUUCUUCUCCCAAAAACCUUCAGGAGGCUUCACCCAAUCCCCAGCAGGAGAAAAGUGACAGAGUAAACUGAAAACAGUGAAGGACUAAACUAUUAUUUCCAAGAUGCAAGAAAAGCAGUUUGGAGCUGACACUCAGCCUUUUCUGCUGAGCAGGAGAUAUCCUUUGCCUUCAACAGGUUUCAGGGAAUUGGCAUUGCAAAUGGAUGGAGCAGCAUUAAACAGCUGCAGCCAUGGUGGUCUGAGGUCACCAAGUAAAGUUGGAUCUCUCCUCACUCAUUGGAUACUUGGGGUGUGA